This 641-nucleotide long non-coding RNA is filed under the name Laticauda laticaudata (blue-ringed sea krait). RNAcentral describes it as "lncRNA (ENSLLTG00000003203.1)". Lineage: Eukaryota; Metazoa; Chordata; Lepidosauria; Squamata; Elapidae. The record is from RNAcentral.
UGUAUUUUUAAAUGGUUUUUGCUGGAUUUCGUAAACUGGAAUAGACGGUUAUAACAAUUAAUAUAGUAGUAAUCAGGCGCUUUCCGAGAUGUCUCUUCGCCUUCCUCGUGUCGCCUACCAGCUCGUGGAGUUCCAGCUUGGCUACCUUUACGAGCCCAAAGACGCCUCCGGAACUACGUUUUCCACAAUGCAUCGCGAGCCCUGUAUAUUUUUAGGGCUGAUCCUAUACCGCGAGAGGUCGCGCCGUUUUCACGAAAGGAAACGAGUGAGAAGCGAGUGGUCGGCUUGUUCGUUCACACCUGCUUAAAAGAAGUAUCCGAAAGUAUCCCAUUUCAUUUGUGUUUGUAAACUUGUUCUGACUAGUUUACAUGAAACGUCGGUGCUAUGUAGAUACGGAAAAAAAUAUUCGGCCCACGGAGGCCACCCCCGAUCACGUGGCCCUCAAAAAGGACCGUUGUGGCUCCCGCUCGUCGCGAGACUUGGCGUGUUGUUUCGCCUCGUGGCGAAGAGACCCGGGCGCGGGUGCGCGCGCGAUUCGUUUAGAACCGGCUGCGAUUGAGGGCACUCAAAGCACGAUCGGACAGGCCUCGACUUGCCAGCAGCAGCUUCCCGCCUUGCAAAUGAAGCCGGAGCUCAAAUGA